This 74-nucleotide transfer RNA is filed under the name Iamia majanohamensis. RNAcentral describes it as "tRNA-Thr". It matches the Rfam family "tRNA". Rfam says of the family: Transfer RNA (tRNA) molecules are approximately 80 nucleotides in length. Their secondary structure includes four short double-helical elements and three loops (D, anti-codon, and T loops). Further hydrogen bonds mediate the characteristic L-shaped molecular structure. tRNAs have two regions of fundamental functional importance: the anti-codon, which is responsible for specific mRNA codon recognition, and the 3' end, to which the tRNAs corresponding amino acid is attached (by aminoacyl-tRNA synthetases). tRNAs cope with the degeneracy of the genetic code in two manners: having more than one tRNA (with a specific anti-codon) for a particular amino acid; and 'wobble' base-pairing, i.e. permitting non-standard base-pairing at the 3rd anti-codon position. The record is from RNAcentral. Lineage: Bacteria; Bacillati; Actinomycetota; Acidimicrobiia; Acidimicrobiales; Iamiaceae.
GCCCGUGUAGCUCAGAUGGCCAGAGCAACCGCCUUGUAAGCGGUAGGUCGUGGGUUCGAAUCCCACCUCGGGCU